UGUGCAGGGUCUUCUGUUGGAACAUAAACCUAAUGAGGCAGCAACCGUCAUUCAGGCCCUAAAUGAGACUCUGCCUGAUGCUAAAAAGUCAGGCAUGAAGGACGAACUUCAGAAGCUUGUAUCUGAGUGGCCUUUGGAAGUUAUAAAGCACCAAAAAGAAGAGGACAGGAAGGCAUUAGCAGCCUCCUUGAAAUCUGAUAUUCUUGCCAUGGUUGAUUUACUAAGCACGGGACUGGAGGCAAGCAUAAACUUGGAAGACCUGAACAGAAAAGAUGGAAUCCUUCUAUAACACGAGCUCAGAACUUGAUGAUGCCCUUGCCUUGGAAUGAGAUGCACACAAGGAUUAAUCAGUGGCCCUAGUUAGAUAGAUACUGAAACACUUACCUUAGCAUUUCUUGUUCGUCAAAACUAUGAAAUAUAUUUAUUUUAUGCGUGUCCUUCCCUUCCAUUUCUUUAUGCCUCUCAAAGUGGUGUGUAAUUUUGCAAACAUGUCAAUGCAAUUUAGUUCUUUAACGACUGAAAUUUUGUUGUCACUAGAUUAUGUUGUAUAAAUAAUGUGGAAGGUCUCAUCUUGGGCGCAUGCAAAAAUGUUCUUCAGUAGGGCUGACAUGGAACAAAAAUUGAUGUUCUGUUUCUGGUUACUGUGCAUUUGAGUUUA
Neltuma alba is the source of this 658-nucleotide long non-coding RNA. RefSeq lists it as uncharacterized. The record is from RefSeq and is a predicted model, not a curated record. NCBI's taxonomy places the organism in Eukaryota, Viridiplantae, Streptophyta, Magnoliopsida, Fabales, Fabaceae. The transcript has 3 exons.